CCCGUGGAAUCGGCCCCAGUCUUCUCAGCUUUAGCAGAUGAAGGAACACUGGAAGAAAAACCCACAACAGAGCAUCAAACAAGCUCGGGAGACCGGUUUGAUCCAGAGGAUUUCAACUGUGUUGUAAACCUUAUCCAGACGGAAAUCCGUCCAUCUAACAGACUUCUCCAGCUUGGACAGCGGGCUCUCGUCAACGUCAGUUUCCUCUUCCCGGUGUUCAUCGGAGGCCCUGCGCUCCAACAGGAAGCUCCUCUGAUGCUGCGCGUCUUCCUCCCGUCUCUGAAGGCUGGCUCUGCGCCCGCUUCCCUCGUCUUCUUCUUCCUCCUCGUCGGCGCCGAGUCUCAGCCUGUCCAUCUCAGUCUCCAUCACCAGGGACCUGUUUUCCUGCUCGUCCAGAGCUUCUCCAGCAGAGCUUUUCUUUGCCUUGUUGCGACCCCUGAGGUUCAGCUUCUGAAAUCAAACAAACAUGAGUGAAAGUUG
Molecule: long non-coding RNA, 480 nt
Organism: Oryzias melastigma (Indian medaka)
Lineage: Eukaryota; Metazoa; Chordata; Actinopteri; Beloniformes; Adrianichthyidae
Exons: 2
Source: RefSeq, a predicted model, not a curated record